RNAcentral lists this unclassified non-coding RNA (194 nucleotides) under uncultured Pochonia. Its description in RNAcentral is "sequence contains ITS2". Lineage: Eukaryota; Fungi; Ascomycota; Sordariomycetes; Hypocreales; Clavicipitaceae. The record is from RNAcentral.
CAACCCUCAAGCCCCAGCGGUUUGGUGUUGGGGACCGGCGAGUACGGAGGCGGGGGGGACUUGUCCCCUCUUCCCUCGGCGCCGCCCCCGAAAUGAAUUGGCGGUCUCGUCGCGGCCUCCUCUGCGUAGUAGCACAACCUCGCAUCAGGAGCGCGGCGCGGCCACUGCCGUAAAACGCCCAACUUUUUUAAGAG